AUGGAGCGGCGGCAGUGGAGCCUCUCCGACUUCGACAUCGGCAAGUUCAUCGGCGAGGGCAAGUUCGGCAAGGUCUAUCUCGGCCGCGAGAGGCAGAGCGGCUACGUGGUGGCGCUCAAGGUGAUAUACAAGACGAAGCUGGAGAAGUACCGGUUCCACGGGCACCUGCGGCGGGAGAUCGAGAUCCAGCACGGCCUCGACCACCCCAACGUGCUCCGCCUCUUCGCCUGGUUCCACGACGCCGAGCGGGUCGUCCUCGUCCUCGAGUACGCCGCCCGCGGGGAGCUAUACAAGCUCCUCCGCAGCGUCGGCCACUUCUCGGAGCGGACCGCCGCCACCUAUGUAGCAAGCCUUGCUGGUGCACUGGCAUACUGUCACAAGAAGCAGGUAAUUCACAGGGACAUCAAGCCGGAAAAUUUGCUCCUUGAUAUCGAGGGCCGGCUUAAAAUUGCAGAUUUUGGAUGGGCGGUUCGAUCAAAUGCUAAACGUCACACACUCUGUGGCACAAUAGAUUACCUGGCACCGGAGAUGGUAGAGAAAAAGGCUCACGAUUACGCCGUUGACAACUGGACUUUAGGAAUCCUGUGCUACGAGUUUUUGUAUGGUUCGCCACCCUUUGAAGCUGCAGAACAGCAAGAUACCCUGAUGAGGAUAGUCAAAGUGGACUUGCUGUUCCCUAAAACUCGUGACAUAUCUGCAGAUGCCAAGGAUCUCAUUUGCAAGCUGCUAGUGAAGGAUUCGAGCAAGAGGAUUUCUCUUGACGAUAUUCUGAAGCAUCCGUGGAUUGUAAAGAAUGCAGAGCCUUCAGGGAGUUGCAUUGAGCAAAAAGCUAGUGCCUAA
This 840-nucleotide ribosomal RNA is filed under the name Triticum aestivum (bread wheat). Its description in RNAcentral is "partial small subunit ribosomal RNA". The record is from RNAcentral. Lineage: Eukaryota; Viridiplantae; Streptophyta; Magnoliopsida; Poales; Poaceae.